Molecule: ribosomal RNA, 444 nt
Filed under: uncultured bacterium
Lineage: Bacteria
Description: SSU rRNA
Rfam family: Bacterial small subunit ribosomal RNA
Source: RNAcentral
AGAGCGAACGCUGGCGGCAGGCCUAAUACAUGCAAGUCGAACGGAUCCUUCGGGAUUAGUGGCGGACGGGUGAGUAACACGUGGGAACGUGCCCUUUGGUUCGGAACAACUCAGGGAAACUUGAGCUAAUACCGGAUGUGCCCUUCGGGGGAAAGAUUUAUCGCCAUUGGAGCGGCCCGCGUCUGAUUAGCUAGUUGGUGGGGUAAAGGCCUACCAAGGCUACGAUCAGUAGCUGGUCUGAGAGGAUGAUCAGCCACACUGGGACUGAGACACGGCCCAGACUCCUACGGGAGGCAGCAGUAGGGAAUCUGCGCAAUGGGCGAAAGCCUGACGCAGCCAUGCCGCGUGAAUGAUGAAGGUCUUAGGAUUAGUAAAAUUCUUUCAGGCGGGACGAUAAUGACGGUACCGCAGAAGACGCCCGGCUAACUUCGUGCCAGCAGCCGC